CAGCAGCCGCGGUAAUACGGAGGGGGCUAGCGUUGUUCGGAAUGACUGGGCGUAAAGGGCGCGUAGGCGGAUGGCACAGUCAGAUGUGAAAUUCCCGGGCUUAACCUGGGGGCUGCAUUUGAUACGUGUUGUCUAGAGUGAGGAAGAGGGUUGUGGAAUUCCCAGUGUAGAAGUGGAAUUCGUAGAUAUUGGGAAGAACACCGGUGGCGAAGGCGGCAGCCUGGUCCUUGACUGACGCUGAGGCGCGAAAGCGUGGGGAGCAAACAGGAUUAGAUACCCGCGUAGUCCCUGUCUCUUAUAC
This 301-nucleotide ribosomal RNA is filed under the name uncultured bacterium. RNAcentral describes it as "partial 16S ribosomal RNA". It matches the Rfam family "Bacterial small subunit ribosomal RNA", at positions 509 to 807 of the family's 1533-position model. The record is from RNAcentral.